This 484-nucleotide ribosomal RNA is filed under the name uncultured bacterium. Its description in RNAcentral is "partial 16S ribosomal RNA". It matches the Rfam family "Bacterial small subunit ribosomal RNA", at positions 30 to 507 of the family's 1533-position model. The record is from RNAcentral.
AUUGAACGCUGGCGGCAGGCCUAACACAUGCAAGUCGAGCGGAUGAAGGGAGCUUGCUCGUGGAUUCAGCGGCGGACGGGUGAGUAAUGCCUAGGAAUCUGCCUGGUAGUGGGGGAUAACGUCCGGAAACGGGCGCUAAUACCGCAUACGUCCUGAGGGAGAAAGUGGGGGAUCUUCGGACCUCACGCUAUCAGAUGAGCCUAGGUCGGAUUAGCUAGUUGGUGGGGUAAAGGCCUACCAAGGCGACGAUCCGUAACUGGUCUGAGAGGAUGAUCAGUCACACUGGAACUGAGACACGGUCCAGACUCCUACGGGAGGCAGCAGUGGGGAAUAUUGGACAAUGGGCGAAAGCCUGAUCCAGCCAUGCCGCGUGUGUGAAGAAGGUCUUCGGAUUGUAAAGCACUUUAAGUUGGGAGGAAGGGCAGUAAGUUAAUACCUUGCUGUUUUGACGUUACCAACAGAAUAAGCACCGGCUAACUUCGUG